UACAGAGGGUGCGAGCGUUAAUCGGAAUUACUGGGCGUAAAGCGUGCGUAGACGGUUAUUUAAGUCGGAUGUGAAAGCCCCGGGCUCAACCUGGGAAUUGCAUUCGAGACUGAAUAGCUAGGGUGCGGUAGAGGGAAGCGGAAUUUCCGGUGUAGCGGUGAAAUGCGUAGAUAUCAGAAGGAACAUCAGUGGCGAAAGCGGCUUCCUGGACCAGCACCGACGUUCAGGCACGAAAGCGUGGGGAGCAAACAGG
RNAcentral lists this ribosomal RNA (253 nucleotides) under uncultured bacterium. RNAcentral's name for it is "partial 16S ribosomal RNA". It matches the Rfam family "Bacterial small subunit ribosomal RNA", at positions 524 to 776 of the family's 1533-position model. The record is from RNAcentral.